Long non-coding RNA from Sinocyclocheilus anshuiensis, 1543 nucleotides. RefSeq lists it as uncharacterized. The record is from RefSeq and is a predicted model, not a curated record. Lineage: Eukaryota; Metazoa; Chordata; Actinopteri; Cypriniformes; Cyprinidae. The transcript has 8 exons.
UUCAUGCAAUUCGCAGUCAGUUUCUGGAAUUAGUAACGCUUGCGAUGUAAAAUUUGUCAAUGAAACACUAACAUGACAAGAAAGUGAACUUUUAAAACGAGUCCAUCGUUGUAGUCUAUAACACUGACAAGUCCGAAGAGCAAAUUGUGGAAAAGUUUUUUUAGGGUUGCCAUCGACUGACUGACUGCCAGCCUCCGAAUAUUAAUUUCUACCAUCAAACAGGCAUAGCUAUUAUAAUUUGGAUCAGAGAGGAUGUGAUGGGAAGAUGAUAAUGCUAUUUGAAGACAAAGAUGGACCAUGAUUGAUUGGGAUCUUAAUUAUGCUGUCCUUGAAUGAUGAAUCUGCAAGUUCAAAACUGAAUUGAAUAUUUCGCACAUACAGUAGAGAUUUUUUGCAGGCAACGGAAUUGGCCUAGUCUGCAUCCUAAGCCUGACUCCAUAUUGCUGCCAGGUGUAGGCUUACUCCGGUAUGGACAUCGAACUGGUCAGCAUCAUAGACAGACGUCCUCCACCGGCAUGCGGAGGACCGCAGCACCCAGUCAGUCACUGCAGCCAGCUCGCUUAGGCGAGGACAUGCGGGCACCCCUCCUCUCCUCUGCAGUGUGCCACAGUGCUGGAUGAAGACUAUUGUUCUGGUGCCCUCGUCUUCCUCUGGCACCACACUUCACCCACCACACCAGCCCACUUCGUAAACAAAUGGCUUUCAGCCUACUUUCCUAUAACAGAAAACAGAGCAGAGUGGAGUCAGCAUUCACAGUCAGAGGCAGGCGCAAGCACCAGAUAAACGCCCCCUUUAAGUGUGUGUAUACUGUAUGUACAUAUGAGUGCAAUGUAACUGCUUUGUGUUUCUCUGUUUAUCUUUCUGUCAUUUUUCACAAUGCACUGAGUAAGAUGGCCUGGAUGGAAUCUGCAGACAGUUUUCACACUUUCAGUUGCUGUGUGAUUCUGUCUGAUGGAUUAAAACAUGGUAAAAUGUGGUAAAUUGAUCUAAAAAUACUCUAGUAUUUUAGUAUUCUUGGUAUCUAAAUGAAUAAUCAUUAUUAGUGAAAGACAAACUUUGUAUUGCUGUGCAAAUGUGCAGAUUACACAUGGGCCUAGAAAUCACCAUUCUGUGUCUCGACAGAGCUAUUUAUAUUUCAUUCUUAUGAAAGAUGUUUGGUUUCAUCUUCUGAUCUGUUUUUCUUUUUCCAACUUAAGUAUAUUUUACAUCUGUCCUCUAUAUCAUCCCCUCCUGCCUCUCACUCCAUUUCCCAGCCAAAAGCACUGAGAAUAUUCCUUCCUUCUCUCUUUCUCUCUCUGUCUGUCUCUUUCUCUCUUUCUCCCUCUAUCUCCCCCCUUCCCAACCCUCUCUCUGUCAACUAAAGCCCUUUCAUAAUGAAUGGCAAGGUACGAUAAUAGCCUUUCGGUUGCUAUAGUAACCAGACAGGAGCUCUGUUCGUGCUGUAUUUUUUGUCCUUUAUUUUUUUUUUCCAAGGGGACAAAUGACAGUGGAAUGUGAGGUGAAACCCUCCCUCUCACUUUCCCUCCUUCUCUUUCUCAUACAC